This 249-nucleotide ribosomal RNA is filed under the name uncultured bacterium. RNAcentral describes it as "partial 16S ribosomal RNA". It matches the Rfam family "Bacterial small subunit ribosomal RNA", at positions 57 to 305 of the family's 1533-position model. The record is from RNAcentral.
GCAAGUCGAGGGAGAAGUUAAAGCUUGCUUUAAUGGAAACCGGCGCACGGGUGCGUAACACGUAUGCAACCUACCUUUAACUGGGGAAUAGCCUUUCGAAAGGAAGAUUAAUACCGCAUAAUAUUACGAAGAGGCAUCUCUUUGUAAUAAAACCUCCGGGGGUUAAAGAUGGGCAUGCGUCUGAUUAGUUUGUUGGUGAGGUAACGGCUCACCAAGGCAACGAUGGGUAGGGGGCCUGAGAGGGUGGUC